This 174-nucleotide ribosomal RNA is filed under the name uncultured Dietzia sp. RNAcentral describes it as "partial 16S ribosomal RNA". It matches the Rfam family "Bacterial small subunit ribosomal RNA", at positions 338 to 524 of the family's 1533-position model. Lineage: Bacteria; Bacillati; Actinomycetota; Actinomycetes; Mycobacteriales; Dietziaceae. The record is from RNAcentral.
CCUACGGGAGGCAGCAGUGGGGAAUAUUGCACAAUGGGCGAAAGCCUGAUGCAGCGACGCCGCGUGGGGGAUGACGGUCUUCGGAUUGUAAAUCCCUUUCAGUAGGGACGAAGCGCAAGUGACGGUACCUGCAGAAGAAGCACCGGCUAACUACGUGCCAGCAGCCGCGGUAAU